RNAcentral lists this transfer RNA (66 nucleotides) under Odontotermes sp. C TB-2017. RNAcentral describes it as "tRNA-Asp". Lineage: Eukaryota; Metazoa; Arthropoda; Insecta; Blattodea; Termitidae. The record is from RNAcentral.
GAAGGAUUAGUUAAAAUAAAAUAACAUCAGAAUGUCAGACUGAAAUAAUCGGAAAGAUAUCCUUCU